GUGGAAGCAUAGCGAUAUGUGAAGCUGACCAAUACUAAUUGCUCGUGAGGCUUGACUAUACAACACCCAAACAGUUGGG
This 79-nucleotide ribosomal RNA is filed under the name Acinetobacter towneri. RNAcentral's name for it is "partial 23S ribosomal RNA". Lineage: Bacteria; Pseudomonadati; Pseudomonadota; Gammaproteobacteria; Moraxellales; Moraxellaceae. The record is from RNAcentral.